GUGCUGUGUGCCCAGGGGAGAAGGUUAACACUCCCUAUGACAAGGAUAAAGAGCACCCCCCCCCCCAGCACACAGCACAGUUAAGGCCGUGCCACCACUUCAGGGCAGCUGACCAUCGUUUUGG
Hyaena hyaena (striped hyena) is the source of this 124-nucleotide small nuclear RNA. The record is from RefSeq and is a predicted model, not a curated record. NCBI's taxonomy places the organism in Eukaryota, Metazoa, Chordata, Mammalia, Carnivora, Hyaenidae.